This 394-nucleotide ribosomal RNA is filed under the name uncultured bacterium. Its description in RNAcentral is "partial 16S ribosomal RNA". It matches the Rfam family "Bacterial small subunit ribosomal RNA", at positions 523 to 918 of the family's 1533-position model. The record is from RNAcentral.
ACACGUAGGGGGCGAGCGUUGUUCGGAAUCAUUGGGCGUAAAGGGCGUGCAGGCGGUCCUGCAAGUCCGGCGUGAAAGACCCCGGCCCAACCGGGGGGACGCGCUGGAAACUGCGGGGCUUGAGUACAGGAGGGGAUGCCGGAAUUCCAGGUGUAGGGGUGAAAUCUGUAGAUAUCUGGAAGAACACCAAUGGCGAAGGCAGGCAUCUGGCCAUGUACUGACGCUGAGACGCGAAGGUGCGGGGAGCAAACAGGUUUAGAUACCCUGGUAGUCCGCACAGUAAACGAUGUGCACCAGGUGGCGGGGGGUCGACCCUCGGUACCGUAGCUAACGCAUUAAGUGCACCGCCUGGGGAGUAUGCUCGCAAGGGUGAAACUCAAAUGAAUUGGCGGGG